CACAGGCGCUUGCUGUGACUGAAAACUCACUUAGUACAGAGAAGAUUGGCAUGGCCCCUACACAAGGAUGACACACACAUUGGCGAAGUGCUCCGUGUUUUC
Molecule: small nuclear RNA, 102 nt
Organism: Peromyscus eremicus (cactus mouse)
Lineage: Eukaryota; Metazoa; Chordata; Mammalia; Rodentia; Cricetidae
Source: RefSeq, a predicted model, not a curated record